Non-coding RNA from Schistosoma margrebowiei, 45 nucleotides. The record is from Rfam. Lineage: Eukaryota; Metazoa; Platyhelminthes; Trematoda; Strigeidida; Schistosomatidae.
AUCCAGCUGACGAGUCCCAUAUAGGACGAAAUGUGCGCCCUGGAU